GACGUAGGGGGCCAGCGUUGUUCGGAAUUACUGGGUGUAAAGGGUUCGUAGGCGGUGUAGCAAGUCGGGCGUGAAAUCUCUGGGCUUAACCCAGAGGCUGCUUCCGAAACUGCUGUGCUUGAGUGUGGGAGAGGCGCGUGGAAUUGCAGGUGUAGCGGUGAAAUGCGUAGAUAUCUGCAGGAACACCCGUGGCGAAAGCGGCGCGCUGGACCACUACUGACGCUGAGGAACGAAAGCUAGGGGAGCAAACAGG
This 253-nucleotide ribosomal RNA is filed under the name uncultured bacterium. Its description in RNAcentral is "partial 16S ribosomal RNA". It matches the Rfam family "Bacterial small subunit ribosomal RNA", at positions 524 to 776 of the family's 1533-position model. The record is from RNAcentral.